RNAcentral lists this transfer RNA (90 nucleotides) under bacterium. RNAcentral describes it as "tRNA-Ser". It matches the Rfam family "tRNA". From Rfam's summary of the family: Transfer RNA (tRNA) molecules are approximately 80 nucleotides in length. Their secondary structure includes four short double-helical elements and three loops (D, anti-codon, and T loops). The record is from RNAcentral.
GGAGGCGUGGCUGAGAGGAUGAAGGCACCUGUCUUGAAAACCGGAAUAUCCGCAAGGGUAUCGAAGGUUCGAAUCCUUCCGCCUCCGCCA